AAGACUUUAAGUUAAAUGUAUAAACUUAUAGCCUUCAAAGUUAUACAUAUCUAAGAUUCAUGGGUAAGUCUUA
This 73-nucleotide transfer RNA is filed under the name Orosius sp. Its description in RNAcentral is "tRNA-Trp". Lineage: Eukaryota; Metazoa; Arthropoda; Insecta; Hemiptera; Cicadellidae. The record is from RNAcentral.